RNAcentral lists this ribosomal RNA (497 nucleotides) under uncultured bacterium. RNAcentral describes it as "partial 16S ribosomal RNA". It matches the Rfam family "Bacterial small subunit ribosomal RNA", at positions 28 to 507 of the family's 1533-position model. The record is from RNAcentral.
GAUGAACGCUGGCGGCGUGCCUAAUACAUGCAAGUCGAGCGAACGGACGAGAAGCUUGCUUCUCUGAUGUUAGCGGCGGACGGGUGAGUAACACGUGGAUAACCUACCCAUAAGACUGGGAUAACUUCGGGAAACCGGAGCUAAUACCGGAUGAUAUUUUAAACCGCAUGGUUCAAAAGUGAAAGACGGUCUUGCUGUCACUUAUAGAUGGAUCCGCGCUGCAUUAGCUAGUUGGUAAGGUAACGGCUUACCAAGGCAACGAUGCAUAGCCGACCUGAGAGGGUGAUCGGCCACACUGGAACUGAGACACGGUCCAGACUCCUACGGGAGGCAGCAGUAGGGAAUCUUCCGCAAUGGGCGAAAGCCUGACUGAGCAACGCCGCGUGAGUGAUGAAGGUCUUCGGAUCGUAAAACUCUGUUAUUAGGGAAGAACAUAUGUGUAAGUAACUGUGCACAUCUUGACGGUACCUAAUCAGAAAGCCACGGCUAACUACGUG